This 887-nucleotide ribosomal RNA is filed under the name Acinetobacter sp. 90A. RNAcentral describes it as "bacterial SSU rRNA". It matches the Rfam family "Bacterial small subunit ribosomal RNA", at positions 115 to 997 of the family's 1533-position model. Lineage: Bacteria; Pseudomonadati; Pseudomonadota; Gammaproteobacteria; Moraxellales; Moraxellaceae. The record is from RNAcentral.
GCUUAGGAAUCUGCCAUUUAGUGGGGGACAACAUUCCGAAAGGAAUGCUAAUACCGCAUACGUCCUACGGGAGAAAGCAGGGGAUCUUCGGACCUUGCGCUAAAUGAUGAGCCUAAGUCGGAUUAGCUAGUUGGUGGGGUAAAGGCCUACCAAGGCGACGAUCUGUAGCGGGUCUGAGAGGAUGAUCCGCCACACUGGGACUGAGACACGGCCCAGACUCCUACGGGAGGCAGCAGUGGGGAAUAUUGGACAAUGGGCGGAAGCCUGAUCCAGCCAUGCCGCGUGUGUGAAGAAGGCCUUUUGGUUGUAAAGCACUUUAAGCGAGGAGGAGGCUACUAGUAUUAAUACUACUGGAUAGUGGACGUUACUCGCAGAAUAAGCACCGGCUAACUCUGUGCCAGCAGCCGCGGUAAUACAGAGGGUGCGAGCGUUAAUCGGAUUUACUGGGCGUAAAGCGUGCGUAGGCGGCUUUUUAAGUCGGAUGUGAAAUCCCCGAGCUUAACUUGGGAAUUGCAUUCGAUACUGGGAAGCUAGAGUAUGGGAGAGGAUGGUAGAAUUCCAGGUGUAGCGGUGAAAUGCGUAGAGAUCUGGAGGAAUACCGAUGGCGAAGGCAGCCAUCUGGCCUAAUACUGACGCUGAGGUACGAAAGCAUGGGGAGCAAACAGGAUUAGAUACCCUGGUAGUCCAUGCCGUAAACGAUGUCUACUAGCCGUUGGGGCCUUUGAGGCUUUAGUGGCGCAGCUAACGCGAUAAGUAGACCGCCUGGGGAGUACGGUCGCAAGACUAAAACUCAAAUGAAUUGACGGGGGCCCGCACAAGCGGUGGAGCAUGUGGUUUAAUUCGAUGCAACGCGAAGAACCUUACCUGGUCUUGACAUAGUAAGAACU